Molecule: ribosomal RNA, 490 nt
Filed under: uncultured bacterium
Lineage: Bacteria
Description: bacterial SSU rRNA
Rfam family: Bacterial small subunit ribosomal RNA
Source: RNAcentral
GACGAACGCUGGCGGCGUGCUUAAUACAUGCAAGUCAACUUGACUUUAGAUAGCAAUAUCGAAAAGUAGGGUGGCGCACGGGUGCGUAACGCGUAGGUAAUCUGCCCUGAGGUCUGACAUAACCCGUCGAAAGGCGGGCUAACAUCAGAUGAUAUAUAAUCACGACAUCGUGGAAAUAUCAAAUCUUCGGAGCCUUGGGAUGAGCCUGCGUCUGAUUAGGUAGUUGGCGGAGUAAUAGCCCACCAAGCCUACGAUCAGUAGCUGGUCUGAGAGGAUGAUCAGCCACACUGGAACUGAGACACGGUCCAGACUCCUACGGGAGGCAGCAGUAAGGAAUAUUGUUCAAUGGGGAAACCCUGAAGCAGCAACGCCGCGUGAAGGAUGAAAUACUUUUGUAAUGUAAACUUCUGUAAGAUGGGAAAAAUAUUCUCCUCGGUAGAAUUGAUUGUACCAUCAGAGUAAGCCCCGGCUAACUACGUGCCAGCAGCCG